Long non-coding RNA from Pezoporus occidentalis (night parrot), 1124 nucleotides. RefSeq lists it as uncharacterized. The transcript has 2 exons. The record is from RefSeq and is a predicted model, not a curated record. NCBI's taxonomy places the organism in Eukaryota, Metazoa, Chordata, Aves, Psittaciformes, Psittacidae.
CGGUGAGGUGGCCCAUGGAGCAGGCGGCGGGGAGAGGGGAUCAUCGAGCGGCAGCGGCGCAGGCAGGAAGGCAGGCAGCUAAGAGCGGGGUCCUGAGGGAGGGCGCUGUUGCCUUGGCGACCGGAGGGUGUAGGGCCAGGGCUGAGGUUGGCUUGGCCUCAACUGAUGCACAUUUCUGUGCUGUUUGACUACUGAAUGCUUGCAGGCAAGGAAAAUUGACACCAGAAAAGAGGGGGUGACUGUCAGGCAACACUGCAGACUGUAUAAAGCCAUGAGCAACCUGUUCUAGUGUCACAGCUGAGCCUGUGUCGAGCAGGUUGGAAUUUAUAGCUGCCUGAGAUCCUGUCCAACCUGAACUACCAAGUGAGUCACUAUUGGAUCAUCCAAAGAGCUGAGCUUCAUCUAAGGUGUCAAAUAUUGGUCAUUUUAUUACACAUUAACACCUAUAUAUUAAAUUGCUUCAAUUUGGCCUCUUGUAGAUAGUAGGAAACAUCUCCUGAUUGAAAAUUCCUUGACGUACACAAAACAAUAUCUGGGCUGCUGUUGUCUCGCUUUGAGACUCUCAGGCAGGCUUGCUGGUUUGUUUAAUAUCAGAUAAUGACAAGUUUCUUUAAUAUCUGAUAAUGUCACUGUUUCAUAUCACACAAAAGUGUGUUGAGAUGCACCCUUGUUUAAGAAGUACAUCAAGAGACUCUAUGAUAUCAACUAUCAAUUGCAUUGGCUGGCUUGUAGGAAAACCAGGUUUCGGGUACUUUAUUACUUUGCUGAAGUUGAUGUUGAUAUGUGGUACCAUAAACUGUCCCAAAAGAAGGGUCUGAUAAUAUUUUAACAUGAGAAGGGACUGAAUUGAGAUUUUCAGUCCUUAGUUUCACUGUUCAAAGUGACAAUACUUUUCUGAAUGUUCCCCAUAAGAGUCUGGGAAGUGGAUUAUUGUCCCAGUUCAGAACUGCUUCUAGCAGAGAACAGGGGAGGAGGGGGAAUCCUUGCCAUUUAUCAACAGGCAGCAGAAACUUCAGAUUUGGCUGCUUGACAGGAGAAGAUGCUGUUCCAGCCUCAGGAUUUGAUUUCAUUCUCUCAUAAAUCUGAGUACAAAAUUCUUACUGCCAAAAUUGUUUAAAAGCAAA